UGGGGAAUAUUGCACAAUGGGCGCAAGCCUGAUGCAGCCAUGCCGCGUGUGUGAAGAAGGCCUUCGGGUUGUAAAGCACUUUCAGCGGGGAGGAAGGCGAUAAGGUUAAUAACCUCAUCGAUUGACGUUACCCGCAGAAGAAGCACCGGCUAACUCCGUGCCAGCAGCCGCGGUAAUACGGAGGGUGCAAGCGUUAAUCGGAAUUACUGGGCGUAAAGCGCACGCAGGCGGUCUGUCAAGUCGGAUGUGAAAUCCCCGGGCUCAACCUGGAACUGCAUUCGAAACUGGCAGGCUAGAGUCUUGUAGAGGGGGGUAGAAUUCCAGGUGUAGCGGUGAAAUGCGUAGAGAUCUGGAGGAAUACCGGUGGCGAAGGCGGCCCCCUGGACAAAGACUGACGCUCAGGUGCGAAAGCGUGGGGAGCAAACAGG
RNAcentral lists this ribosomal RNA (428 nucleotides) under Chloroflexota bacterium. Its description in RNAcentral is "Chloroflexi bacterium partial 16S ribosomal RNA". It matches the Rfam family "Bacterial small subunit ribosomal RNA", at positions 355 to 776 of the family's 1533-position model. The record is from RNAcentral. Lineage: Bacteria; Bacillati; Chloroflexota.